AAAAAGAACAAAAUAAGAGUUUUAAUACCCAGUUAAAGGAAAAAUCCCUAAAACUAACAGAGUAAAAAAAAACCAAAAUUUCCUUCAAUACUCCCGCAAAACUGAAGUGGAACAAACCUCCCGACGCAGAUCUGCACCGCCGCUCCAUUGCAACGCCUUCCGACCGCUUCCUAGCCUCCGUUGAACGCCGUUUGUACCAUCGUUGCCUUCAAUUCGAUAUCGGUUGUGACGUUUAUCAGAUGAUCUGCAGUUGGGGUUUUUGUCCUGCAAAUGUGUUGGUGUUGUGAUGUUGUCUGCCUUAUAUGCUGCAGUCUAGGUAAAUUAGAAGGAGGGGGCGUGCACCAUAUUAGCCGUAGCUGAGUUCUUACCAUUACGGUUUCCAUGAGGAUGGUUUGAAGAUCUUUCUUUCAAACAUAUAUUCAUAUCCUUCCGUGUCAAUGGAAGAUAAAAAGAGCAGACCAAACAGAAGGGCAUUGCUUCCCAUUGAGCCUUUUCUGAUGGCCCUGGCUAGGAAUUUCAACCCUAGAGAAUAAAAUUUGUCGCAACAAAUCUGCCGUGAAGCUUUGUUUUGCUUCUAAAUCCUUGAGUUUCCAAAACCUUUCUGGCCUGCAGACAUGAGCACAUCCCCAACAGAAUCCCUCGCAACCAUCCCAUAUCCCGUAGCAUUUGUAGCUGCUGCAGCUUCAGUAUUGAGUUUAAAUAAACCAGUAGCUGGGUCUGUCCAUGUAUGAGCUUCACUGUGGGAAGGAGCACAUUCGUCUCGCUCUUUUGCGGCUUCAAAAUCGCCCAGGAGGUUCAUCAGCCUAUUACAAGCCAACACCAAAUCAACGCUCUUCCUCUCAAACACCCACAAACACCAAAAUGUUGGCUUAAUUAAGAGUUCAUGGAACUGUGAGGUCCUAAUUAAACCUUGACAUCAAAAAAUUUAGCUUAAAUUUAGGUGACCAUUAUAUCUUUGGAAAAAUUGAUGGAAAUAAGUCAACCUUUGUCCCAUUUAUUAAUAAUAAGUCUAACUUUUAAUUAUAUCUGGUUAAGUUAACCUUUUAUAUCCAUUUAUUUUUAACAAGUUGAUUAACCGGUAACCGGCUAAAUUAAUUGUGAACCGGUAAACUUUCACUUUCCACUCCCAAAAUGUGUCUGCGUGGCAUUAACUUGUGACAAAUACCCACCCACUUUACAAUUUGCUCACUUAUACAACAACAAAUAGAAAAAAUAAAAUAAAAUAAGAGCAUUCAGUAUUGUUUGUCGAUCGUCGUUUUCUGCCAUAGCCAAUAAGCUUCACCCACCUUGGCAUCUUCUUCUUCAUUGAUGUAAUCAUCGAGAAAAAGUGAUAGAGAUGCAACAAUAAAAUAUCAAGAGAAAUUAAUUCAUAAUCCAAGCAAAAUUCGCAGGUGUAAAUUGCUAACCCUAACUAUUUUGAAUUAUGGGUUAAUUUUGUUACUUAAAAGGGAAAUUUGCUUAAUCAUAGGAAUUAAAUUCUUAUUCUUGGGUAAAUUUCGGUGUUGGUGGGGGGAUUAUUAACAAAAUUUCAUACUCCAUUGAUUUGGGUUAAUUGAAUUGAAUUGGGGCUCAAUUGAUUGGCAUGGCCGUAGCUAGAGUACCCAACCAAAUGGCUACUACAUACCCAAACCAUUCUCACACCCAUGGUAGCUGUUGUGGGCAUUGUGGCAAUCGUUAAAAUGGUAUAAAAUUUUAAUAAAUGCAAUUGUUAAGCUUUUUUAAGUGCAAUAAUUUCACAAAAUUACCAAAAACAGGGGAUUUUUCUCUUCCAUUCUUUAAUAAUUCUUUUUUUAGUUAAACUUACCUCGUUGUAUUACUGAAUUGCACGUUAUCGUGAAAUCUGGUGUGUUUGAUGAUGUUACUCUGAAGUUUUGGCAUGAUGGGAGAUUUUUAUACUCCAUAUUGGAAAAAAAACUGGAAAUACAAGAAAAAGCGGAAAAUUUAGUGGAGGGAUGAAGUUUAAUGGAGGGAUUAUGAAGAAAGGGGAAGUAGAAGAGGGGCGCUGAAGAUGAAGAAAUUAAAAGAAGAGGAAGGGAAAAAAAAGAUAGAAUUAAAUAAACAAAAAAAAUUUAAAAGAACCCAAAAAGUUUAAAAUCACGCAACAGAUAAUUUUUUCACUGCCAUGUCAUACAUGGUACCUACUACAAUCGGUAAUUUUUUAAUGCAACUUGUUAAAAAUAAAUGGGUAUAAAAAUUUAACUUAAUCAGAUAUAAUUAAAAGUUAGACUUAUUAUUAAUAAAUAGGGCAAAGGUUGACUUAUUCCCAUCAAUUUUUCCUUAUAUCUUUUAGAGCAUGGUUAUGCAUUACUAGUAGCUUUGCUUUUCUAAAUACUUAGCGCCUUAAGCUAGAGCCUUUUCAUUAGAUGGAAAGGCUUCUGGUCCUUUCUGUAUUUAUAUGUUUUGUUAUGUGUUCUGACUAUUCUUUAACCAGUUGUAUACUAACUCUUCUUGGAAUUCAAUGAAAAUGAAUCAGUACAAUAAAUUUGUAUCUUUUUUUCUUCUCAAUGUAGUUUGGCUCAUUUUGUAAUAUUCAUUUCUCAUAUAUUCCUAUAAUAUGCCUCUAUAUUCUGUCCCAUUGUCUUCAGGUGUGAAACAUCGCCUGUAUUUUCUGUACAGUAACUGGCAUAUUAGAGAAAUGUGUAUCUCAUGGAGUCAUAAGUGUAGUAGGAAAGUUAAACGUCUUGAAUUUAAUUUGAAUUCGUCCCAUACUGAGCCUAUUGCCUUUGUAGCAGAUAGAGGAAGGUUUAAUGACAAGUUCAAUGAGAGCUCCCACCGUCCCACGCAUUCUCAAACUACGAUUGACGAGCUAAGGGAGAGGUGGAUCUCAUACGUUACCGAAUAUCACCAACCAAAUAACGAUGAAGAUCAAGAUGAUGAUGACGAUGAUCUAGUGUGACUUAAGCUAGCUCAAGGAGAUGGUUACCUCAGUUUCAGUCCUGCAUUUCUGCUGUUGCUGCAGAAUCUGUUCUUGCUGCAAACGCUGCUGUUGUUGCAGAAUCUGUUCCAGCUGUCUUUUUUUCUUUUUUUUUAAACAGUGAUAUUGGAUUUUAUUAUUUGCCGUACCUUGUGUAGAUCAUUUAUAUUUUAUCAAUGAAUAAUAUGAUUUUGUUAUUGAAUGAAUAAUAUUAUUUUGUUAUUGAAUGAAAUUAUUUUUGGAAA
This is a long non-coding RNA of Spinacia oleracea (spinach), 3159 nucleotides long. RefSeq lists it as uncharacterized. Lineage: Eukaryota; Viridiplantae; Streptophyta; Magnoliopsida; Caryophyllales; Amaranthaceae. The transcript has 5 exons. The record is from RefSeq and is a predicted model, not a curated record.